RNAcentral lists this ribosomal RNA (155 nucleotides) under Pseudomonas putida. Its description in RNAcentral is "partial 16S ribosomal RNA". It matches the Rfam family "Bacterial small subunit ribosomal RNA", at positions 1377 to 1532 of the family's 1533-position model. The record is from RNAcentral. Lineage: Bacteria; Pseudomonadati; Pseudomonadota; Gammaproteobacteria; Pseudomonadales; Pseudomonadaceae.
GGCCUUGUACACACCGCCGUCACACCAUGGGAGUGGGUUGCAAAAGAAGUAGGUAGCUUAACCUUCGGGAGGGCGCUUACCACUUUGUGAUUCAUGACUGGGGUGAAGUCGUAACAAGGUAACCGUAGGGGAACCUGCGGUUGGAUCACCUCCUU